GAUGAACGCUGGCGGCGUGCCUAACACAUGCAAGUCGAACGGAAAGACGAGGAGCUUGCUCCUUUGACGUUAGCGGCGGGCGGGUGAGUAACGCGUGGAUCACCUACUUAUAUUUCGGGGAUCAUUACGGAAAACCGGAUAUAAUACCAGAUAAUAUAUUGAACCGCAGGGUGCAAUGGUGAAUGUCGGCUUUGGUGUCUGUAAUAGCUGCUUCCGCGCUGCGUUAGCGGGUUGGUAAGGUACCGGCCUACCAAGGAUACGAUGCGUAGCCGAGCGGAGAGGGGGAUCAGCCACACUGGAACUGAGACACGGUCCAGACUCCGACGGGAGGCAGAAGUGGGGAAUCUUGGGCAAUGGGCGAAAGCCUGACGGAGCAACGCCGCGUGGGUGAAGAAGGCCUUCGGGUUGUAAAACCCUGUUAUGGGAGAAAAACGAAUGUGUAUGUAACCACGCACGUCUGACGGUAACCUAUCAAAAAGCAACGGCUAACUACGUG
This 496-nucleotide ribosomal RNA is filed under the name uncultured bacterium. Its description in RNAcentral is "partial 16S ribosomal RNA". It matches the Rfam family "Bacterial small subunit ribosomal RNA", at positions 28 to 507 of the family's 1533-position model. The record is from RNAcentral.